Molecule: ribosomal RNA, 757 nt
Filed under: uncultured archaeon
Lineage: Archaea
Description: bacterial SSU rRNA
Rfam family: Archaeal small subunit ribosomal RNA
Source: RNAcentral
GGAUAACUACCCUUUAGGACUGGGAUAACCCUGGGAAACUGGGGCUAAUACCGGAUAGGCAAUUUUUCCUGUAAUGGUUCUUUGUUUAAAUGUUUUUUCGCCUAAGGAUGGGUCUGCGGCCGAUUAGGUAGUUGGUUAGGUAAUGGCUUACCAAGCCGUUGAUCGGUACGGGUUGUGAGAGCAAGAGCCCGGAGAUGGAACCUGAGACAAGGUUCCAGGCCCUACGGGGCGCAGCAGGCGCGAAACCUCCACAAUGUGAGAAAUCGCGAUGGGGGGAUCCCAAGUGCCAUUCUUAACGGGAUGGCUUUUCAUUAGUGUAAAAAGCUUUUGGAAUAAGAGCUGGGCAAGACCGGUGCCAGCCGCCGCGGUAACACCGGCAGCUCUAGUGGUAGCAACUUUUAUUGGGCCUAAAGCGUCCGUAGCCGGUUUAAUAAGUCUCUGGUGAAAUCCUGUAGCUUAACUGUGGGAAUUGCUGGAGAUACUAUUAGACUUGAGACCGGGAGAGGUUAGAGGUACUCCCAGGGUAGAGGUGAAAUUCUGUAAUCCUGGGAGGACCGCCUGUUGCGGAGGCGUCUAACUGGAACGGUUCUGACGGUGAGGGACGAAAGUUAGGGGCGCGAACCGGAUUAGAUACCCGGGUAGUCCUAACUGUAAACGAUGCGGACUUGGUGUUGGGGUGGCUUUGAGCUGUUCCAGUGCCGAAGGGAAGCUGUUAAGUCCGCCGCCUGGGAAGUACGGUCGCAAGACUGAAACUUAA